Non-coding RNA from Oncorhynchus mykiss (rainbow trout), 1847 nucleotides. The record is from RefSeq and is a predicted model, not a curated record. NCBI's taxonomy places the organism in Eukaryota, Metazoa, Chordata, Actinopteri, Salmoniformes, Salmonidae.
AAUGAAUACACCCAGGUCUUGGACCAGGGGCCUGAGGUCAAUUUGAGUGGGCACAAUCGAUUGCCUUUUUGAACCUCGACGCGGCUCGUUUUCCCGUCUUUACGUGGCAGCAUUUGCGAGGAAGUUGCGUCCCCCUUCUCCUACUGGCUCCUCCUCCGCAAGUCGGCGGCUGAGCGUUUUGUUCGCUAAUCUAUUUUUCACAUAGCUAAACAGUAGAGAAAAACAACAGUAAUCAUGUUUACUCUCUCGGAGUGUAUGGUCAUUUUAUCUAUGUUAUCCGCCACAGCGUCAGGUUACUUCGUAAGCAUCGACGCUCAUGCAGAAGAGUGUUUCUUUGAACGAGUCAACUCUGGUACCAAGAUGGGCCUCAUGUUUGAGGUGGCCGAAGGAGGUUUCCUAGACAUCGAUGUGGAGAUCACAGGUCCAGAUGGGAAGCAGAUUUACAAAGGAGACCGAGAAUCCAGUGGGAAGUACUCGGUGGCUGCCCAUAUGGAUGGCACAUACAAAUUUUGCUUCAGCAAUAAGAUGUCCACCAUGACACCCAAGAUCGUCAUGUUCACCAUUGACAUUGGAGAGGCCCCCAAGGGAGACGGCAUGGAGACAGAAGGUUCUCUGGAAGACUCUUUCCUUCAUAUUCCUUCUUCCUUCAUAUUCAUCCUUUUCUCAUUCUGCUCUCCACCCUCCAUCAGGUGGUGGAGACACCUGGGACGCCCACCAGAACAAGCUGGAAGAGAUGAUUAAUGAGCUAGCAGUUGCCAUGACCGCAGUAAAACACGAGCAGGAAUACAUGGAGGUCCGAGAGAGGAUACACAGAGCGAUUAAUGACAACACAAACAGCCGAGUGGUGCUUUGGUCCUUCUUUGAAGCUCUUGUGCUGGUAGCCAUGACCCUUGGACAGAUCUACUACCUGAAGAGAUUUUUCGAAGUGCGGAGAGUUGUGUAAAACAUUUUAUUUUUCCCCAAAAGUAUUUACCAUUCACUUGAGCUAUUAGCCACACCAUACUUCAAAAUUGGAAAUCAAACAUCUGAAAAUACUUUGUCCAAUCUCCUGUUUUUCUGUUCGUGUACUUCAGGCCAUGGUACAUAUGCAUGUUUUUCCACUUGCGGAAAACUGUCUUCGCAUUGACUCCUCAGACUUUGACAUCAAUAGCACUGAAGAGGGUAUUAUUAAUUUUUGAUCAAGGAAGGUUUGAGUAUUUGCACAUUCAAAGCCACCGCCCCAAAAUGCUGGAUGUCAUUUUCUCAUCUUAUAGUUGUGGAUAGAAUGAGUAGGUGGUGGAAAUAUUUUUGCUUUUACAUAGUCGUACCAUCAUCCAGAGCGACAGUGAGUGCAUACAUUUUUUAUACUGGUCCGCCAUGGGAAUCAAACCCGCAACCCUGCUGUUGCAAGCGCCAUGCUCUACCAACUGAGCCACACUGGACACAUUCCAAGCCCAGUGUUGUAUUUGAUCUGUUAUUCUUUCUAAAUGUGUUCGUUAGACAACUGUUCAGCUUUUUUUUUAACACUUCCUGUGCCAAUCAGUCACAGUAUGCACAUUUUAAUGGUAAAAAUACAAAGUAAUGGCAUAUACUUUGUAGUAAUGAUUCUACCUUUUGGGGCAAGGGCAGUACAAAAAGCCUUGGUAUGGGAUCUGAGUUGUUGCCAGUUUUAAGUAGUCACUUGAGCAUUUCUAUUUAUCAAAUGAGGACAAUUUCCUACAGACUUAGUUUAUUGGUAUUUGUUCAAGGGAUGUUUUAUUUUGGGUACAGAGGGUGAAUAACUCAUCUGAGCCAACACACCUGAGAGAGCUCAGACAAACUAUGGAUGACCCAAGUCCUGUUCAUAAUAAAAAGUCUCCUUUUCCUUU